UGGGCAAUGGGCGAAAGCCUGACCCAGCAACGCCGCGUGAGGGAUGAAGUAUUUCGGUAUGUAAACCUCGAAAGAAUGGGAAGAAUAAAUGACGGUACCAUUUAUAAGCUCCGGCUAACUACGUGCCAGCAGCCGCGGUAAUACGUAGGGAGCAAGCGUUGUUCGGAUUUACUGGGCGUAAAGGGCGCGUAGGCGGCGCGGUAAGUCACUUGUGAAAUCUCUGAGCUUAACUCAGAACGGCCAAGUGAUACGGCUGUGCUAGAGUGCGGAAGAGGCAACCGGAAUUCUUGGUGUAGCGGUGAAAUGCGUAGAUAUCAAGAGGAACACCUGAGGCGAAGGCGGGUUGCUGGGCCGACACUGACGCUGAUGCGCGAAAGCCAGGGGAGCAAACG
This 392-nucleotide ribosomal RNA is filed under the name uncultured bacterium. RNAcentral's name for it is "bacterial SSU rRNA". It matches the Rfam family "Bacterial small subunit ribosomal RNA", at positions 365 to 774 of the family's 1533-position model. The record is from RNAcentral.